This 457-nucleotide ribosomal RNA is filed under the name Lamellibrachia luymesi. RNAcentral describes it as "partial 16S ribosomal RNA". It matches the Rfam family "Bacterial large subunit ribosomal RNA", at positions 1859 to 2574 of the family's 2925-position model. The record is from RNAcentral. Lineage: Eukaryota; Metazoa; Annelida; Polychaeta; Sabellida; Siboglinidae.
CUGCCCAAUGACAACAUAGUUUAAUGGCCGCGGUACCCUGACCGUGCAAAGGUAGCAUAAUCAUUUGCCCCUUAAUUAGGGGCUAGCAUGAAAGGACACACGAAAGCUUCCCUGUCUCACAAUAACAAAUAAAAAUUAAUCUUCAAGUGAAAAAGCUUGAAUGAAACUGCAGGACAAGAAGACCCCGUUGAGCUUUAUUCUCUAUAGACUAAAUCAAAUAUUAAAUAUAUCAUAAACCUAAAAAGAAUUUAGUUGGGGUGACUAAGGAACACCAAAAACUUCCUUUUAUUAAUUAGGAUUAUUCUCCAUAUAAAUUGACCCAUUACAUAUGAUCAAAAAAAUAAGCUACCACAGGGAUAACAGGCUAAUCUUUCUCAAGAGCCCAAAUUGUCAGAAAGGAUUGGCACCUCGAUGUUGGCUUAGGGGCCCCUAAUGGUGCAGAAGCCAUAAAUGGUAG